This 423-nucleotide unclassified non-coding RNA is filed under the name Hevea brasiliensis (rubber tree). Lineage: Eukaryota; Viridiplantae; Streptophyta; Magnoliopsida; Malpighiales; Euphorbiaceae. The record is from RNAcentral.
UUUCAGAAUGAAUUUAUGAAGCCAUUUGUAAUUGUCAUGCGUAAGAGUAGUGCCGUUGAGAUCAGAGAAUUAAUAAUCAGAUGUGUCUCGCAAAUGGUUUUAUCUCGUGUCAACAAUGUAAAAUCAGGAUGGAAGAGCAUGUUCAUGGUUUUCACAACAGCGGCUUAUGACGACCACAAAAACAUUGUACUCUUGGCCUUUGAAAUAAUGGAAAAGAUUAUUCGAGACUACUUCCCAUACAUCACUGAGACUGAAACAACCACCUUUACAGAUUGUGUAAAUUGCCUAAUUGCAUUCACAAAUAGUCGAUUCAACAAAGACAUUAGCCUCAAUGCUAUAGGCUUUCUUCGGUUCUGUGCUAAAAAACUUGCAGAGGGAGAUCUGGGAUCCUCAGCAAGGAACAAGGAUAAGGAAACCCCCGGA